Molecule: transfer RNA, 74 nt
Filed under: Rhamnusium bicolor
Lineage: Eukaryota; Metazoa; Arthropoda; Insecta; Coleoptera; Cerambycidae
Description: tRNA-OTHER
Source: RNAcentral
AGCUUCGUAGUCGAGUGGUAAGGACACUGCCUCCCACCCUAGAGUCCCGGGUUCGAUUCCCGGUCGAGGAGCUA